This 201-nucleotide ribosomal RNA is filed under the name uncultured bacterium. Its description in RNAcentral is "partial 16S ribosomal RNA". It matches the Rfam family "Bacterial small subunit ribosomal RNA", at positions 524 to 724 of the family's 1533-position model. The record is from RNAcentral.
UACGUAGGUGACCAGCGUUGUCCGGAUUUACUGGGCGUAAAGAGCGCGCAGGCAGUCGUUCAAGUCGAGUGUGAAAGCCCCCGGCUCAACUGGGGAGGGUCACUCGAUACUGAUCGACUUGAAGGCAGGAGAGGGAAGCGGAAUUCCCGGUGUAGUGGUGAAAUGCGUAGAUAUCGGGAGGAACACCAGUGGCGAAGGCGG